This 460-nucleotide ribosomal RNA is filed under the name uncultured bacterium. Its description in RNAcentral is "partial 16S ribosomal RNA". It matches the Rfam family "Bacterial small subunit ribosomal RNA", at positions 338 to 795 of the family's 1533-position model. The record is from RNAcentral.
CCUACGGGAGGCAGCAGUGAGGAAUAUUGGUCAAUGGACGAGAGUCUGAACCAGCCAAGUAGCGUGAAGGAUGACUGCCCUAUGGGUUGUAAACUUCUUUUAUAUGGGAAUAAAAUGUUCCACGUGUGGGAUUUCGUAUGUACCCUAUGAAUAAGGAUCGGCUAACUCCGUGCCAGCAGGCGCGGUAAUACGGAGGAUCCGAGCGUUAUCCGGAUUUAUUGGGGUUAAAGGGAGCGUUGGUGGAUUGUCAAGGCAGUUGGGAAAGUUUGCGGCUCAACCGUAGAAUUGCAGUUGAAACUGGCAGUCUUGAGUACGUUAGAGGUAGGCGGAAUUCGUGGUGUAGCGGUGAAAUGCUUAGAUAUCACGAAGAACUCCGAUUGCGAAGGCAGUUCACUGGACUGCAACUGACACUGAGGCUCGAAAGUGUGGGUAUCAAACAGGAUUAGAUACCCGGGUAGUC